AACGAACGCUGGCGGCAGGCUUAACACAUGCAAGUCGAACGGAUCCUUCGGGAUUAGUGGCAGACGGGUGAGUAACGCGUGGGAACGUACCCUUUGCUACGGAAUAACUCAGGGAAACUUGAGCUAAUACCGUAUGUGCCCUACGGGGGAAAGAUUUAUCGGCAAAGGAUCGGCCCGCGUUGGAUUAGCUAGUUGGUGGGGUAAUGACCUACCAAGGCGACGAUCCAUAGCUGGUCUGAGAGGAUGAUCAGCCACACUGGGACUGAGACACGGCCCAGACUCCUACGGGAGGCAGCAGUGGGGAAUAUUGGACAAUGGGCGCAAGCCUGAUCCAGCCAUGCCGCGUGAGUGAUGAAGGUCUUAGGAUUGUAAAGCUCUUUCACCGGUGAAGAUAAUGACGGUAGCCGGAGAAGAAGCCCCGGCUAACUUCGUG
RNAcentral lists this ribosomal RNA (433 nucleotides) under uncultured bacterium. Its description in RNAcentral is "partial 16S ribosomal RNA". It matches the Rfam family "Bacterial small subunit ribosomal RNA", at positions 29 to 507 of the family's 1533-position model. The record is from RNAcentral.